UACGUAGGGGGCAAGCGUUGUCCGGAUUUAUUGGGCGUAAAGAGCGUGUAGGCGGUCAGGUAGGUCCGUUGUGAAAACUCGAGGCUCAACCUCGAGACGCCGAUGGAAACCAUCUGACUAGAGUCCGGAAGAGGAGAGUGGAAUUCCUGGUGUAGCGGUGAAAUGCGCAGAUAUCAGGAAGAACACCCGUGGCUAAGGCGGUUCUCUGGGCAUGACCUGACGCUGAGGAGCGAAAGUGUGGGGAGCGAACAGG
This 253-nucleotide ribosomal RNA is filed under the name uncultured bacterium. RNAcentral describes it as "partial 16S ribosomal RNA". It matches the Rfam family "Bacterial small subunit ribosomal RNA", at positions 524 to 776 of the family's 1533-position model. The record is from RNAcentral.